CCAGUUGGAAACGACUGUUAAUACCUCAUAAUAUCUGUGUAUUAAAGGUGGCUUUCGGGCUGUCGCAGAUGGAUGAGCCUGCGUUGGAUUAGCUAGUUGGUGGGGUUAGGGCCCACCAAGGCUACGAUCCAUAGCUGAUUUGAGAGGAUGAUCAGCCACAUUGGUACUGAGACACGGCCCAAACUCCUACGGGAGGCAGCAGUGGGGAAUAUUGGACAAAGGGGGCAACCCUGAUCCAGCAAAGCCAUGUGUGUGAAGAAGGCCC
This 265-nucleotide ribosomal RNA is filed under the name Francisella tularensis subsp. holarctica. RNAcentral describes it as "partial 16S ribosomal RNA". It matches the Rfam family "Bacterial small subunit ribosomal RNA", at positions 146 to 417 of the family's 1533-position model. Lineage: Bacteria; Pseudomonadati; Pseudomonadota; Gammaproteobacteria; Thiotrichales; Francisellaceae. The record is from RNAcentral.